RNAcentral lists this ribosomal RNA (468 nucleotides) under uncultured bacterium. Its description in RNAcentral is "partial 16S ribosomal RNA". It matches the Rfam family "Bacterial small subunit ribosomal RNA", at positions 28 to 507 of the family's 1533-position model. The record is from RNAcentral.
GACGAACGCUGGCGGCGUGCUUAACACAUGCAAGUCGAACGGAAAGGCCCUGCUUUUGUGGGGUGCUCGAGUGGCGAACGGGUGAGUAACACGUGAGUAACCUGCCCUUGACUUUGGGAUAACUUCAGGAAACUGGGGCUAAUACCGGAUAGGAGCUCCUGCUGCAUGGUGGGGGUUGGAAAGUUUCGGCGGUUGGGGAUGGACUCGCGGCUUAUCAGCUUGUUGGUGGGGUAGUGGCUUACCAAGGCUUUGACGGGUAGCCGGCCUGAGAGGGUGACCGGCCACAUUGGGACUGAGAUACGGCUCAGACUCCUACGGGAGGCAGAAGUGGGGAAUAUUGCACAAUGGGCGGAAGCCUGAUGCAGCAACGCCGCGUGCGGGAUGACGGCCUUCGGGUUGUAAACCGCUUUCGCCUGUGACGAAGCGUGAGUGACGGUAAUGGGUAAAGAAGCACCGGCUAACUACGUG